This 77-nucleotide transfer RNA is filed under the name Armatimonadota bacterium. RNAcentral's name for it is "Armatimonadetes bacterium (oil production facility metagenome) tRNA-Arg". It matches the Rfam family "tRNA". From Rfam's summary of the family: Transfer RNA (tRNA) molecules are approximately 80 nucleotides in length. The record is from RNAcentral. Lineage: Bacteria; Bacillati; Armatimonadota.
GCGCCCGUAGCUCAGUUGGAUAGAGCGUCGGUCUCCGGAACCGAAGGUCGCGCGUUCGAAUCGCGCCGGGCGCACCA